This 1160-nucleotide ribosomal RNA is filed under the name Escherichia coli. RNAcentral's name for it is "partial 23S ribosomal RNA". It matches the Rfam family "Bacterial large subunit ribosomal RNA", at positions 1 to 1194 of the family's 2925-position model. The record is from RNAcentral. Lineage: Bacteria; Pseudomonadati; Pseudomonadota; Gammaproteobacteria; Enterobacterales; Enterobacteriaceae.
GGGUUGUGAGGUUAAGCGACUAAGCGUACACGGUGGAUGCCCUGGCAGUCAGAGGCGAUGAAGGACGUGCUAAUCUGCGAUAAGCGUCGGUGAGGUGAUAUGAACCGUUAUAACCGGCGAUUUCCGAAUGGGGAAACCCAGUGUGUUUCGACACACUAUCAUUAACUGAAUCCAUAGGUUAAUGAGGCGAACCGGGGGAACUGAAACAUCUAAGUACCCCGAGGAAAAGAAAUCAACCGAGAUUCCCCCAGUAGCGGCGAGCGAACGGGGAGGAGCCCAGAGCCUGAAUCAGUGUGUGUGUUAGUGGAAGCGUCUGGAAAGGCGCGCGAUACAGGGUGACAGCCCCGUACACAAAAAUGCACAUAUUGUGAGCUCGAUGAGUAGGGCGGGACACGUGGUAUCCUGUCUGAAUAUGGGGGGACCAUCCUCCAAGGCUAAAUACUCCUGACUGACCGAUAGUGAACCAGUACCGUGAGGGAAAGGCGAAAAGAACCCCGGCGAGGGGAGUGAAAAAGAACCUGAAACCGUGUACGUACAAGCAGUGGGAGCCUCUUAAUGGGGUGACUGCGUACCUUUUGUAUAAUGGGUCAGCGACUUAUAUUCUGUAGCAAGGUUAACCGAAUAGGGGAGCCGAAGGGAAACCGAGUCUUAACUGGGCGUUAAGUUGCAGGGUAUAGACCCGAAACCCGGUGAUCUAGCCAUGGGCAGGUUGAAGGUUGGGUAACACUAACUGGAGGACCGAACCGACUAAUGUUGAAAAAUUAGCGGAUGACUUGUGGCUGGGGGUGAAAGGCCAAUCAAACCGGGAGAUAGCUGGUUCUCCCCGAAAGCUAUUUAGGUAGCGCCUCGUGAAUUCAUCUCCGGGGGUAGAGCACUGUUUCGGCAAGGGGGUCAUCCCGACUUACCAACCCGAUGCAAACUGCGAAUACCGGAGAAUGUUAUCACGGGAGACACACGGCGGGUGCUAACGUCCGUCGUGAAGAGGGAAACAACCCAGACCGCCAGCUAAGGUCCCAAAGUCAUGGUUAAGUGGGAAACGAUGUGGGAAGGCCCAGACAGCCAGGAUGUUGGCUUAGAAGCAGCCAUCAUUUAAAGAAAGCGUAAUAGCUCACUGGUCGAGUCGGCCUGCGCGGAAGAUGUAACGGGGCUAAACCAUGCAC